Molecule: ribosomal RNA, 578 nt
Filed under: Lodderomyces parapsilosis
Lineage: Eukaryota; Fungi; Ascomycota; Pichiomycetes; Serinales; Debaryomycetaceae
Description: eukaryotic LSU rRNA
Rfam family: Eukaryotic large subunit ribosomal RNA
Source: RNAcentral
GAAACCAACAGGGAUUGCCUUAGUAGCGGCGAGUGAAGCGGCAAAAGCUCAAAUUUGAAAUCUGGCACUUUCAGUGUCCGAGUUGUAAUUUGAAGAAGGUAUCUUUGGGUCUGGCUCUUGUCUAUGUUUCUUGGAACAGAACGUCACAGAGGGUGAGAAUCCCGUGCGAUGAGAUGUCCCAGACCUAUGUAAAGUUCCUUCGAAGAGUCGAGUUGUUUGGGAAUGCAGCUCUAAGUGGGUGGUAAAUUCCAUCUAAAGCUAAAUAUUGGCGAGAGACCGAUAGCGAACAAGUACAGUGAUGGAAAGAUGAAAAGAACUUUGAAAAGAGAGUGAAAAAGUACGUGAAAUUGUUGAAAGGGAAGGGCUUGAGAUCAGACUUGGUAUUUUGUAUGUUACUCUCUCGGGGGUGGCCUCUACAGUUUACCGGGCCAGCAUCAGUUUGAGCGGUAGGAUAAGUGCAAAGAAAUGUGGCACUGCUUCGGUAGUGUGUUAUAGUCUUUGUCGAUACUGCCAGCUUAGACUGAGGACUGCGGCUUCGGCCUAGGAUGUUGGCAUAAUGAUCUUAAGUCGCCCGUCUU